This 240-nucleotide unclassified non-coding RNA is filed under the name uncultured Alphaproteobacteria bacterium. RNAcentral describes it as "contains 16S-23S intergenic spacer region". Lineage: Bacteria; Pseudomonadati; Pseudomonadota; Alphaproteobacteria. The record is from RNAcentral.
UCCCCGUUCUCCUGGGCAGUCUCUCCAAAAACCUCGAUCAGGAUGGCAAACGUAGGUAAGGUUCUUCGCGUUGCUUCGAAUUAAAGAACAUGCUCCACCGCUUGUGCGGGUCCCCGUCAAUUCCUUUGAGUUUUAAUCUUGCGACCGUACUCCCCAGGCGGUGUGCUUAAAGCGUUAGCUGCGCCACCGAAACUCUAAGAGUCCCAGCAGCUAGCACACAUCGUUUAUGGUAUGGACUAC